RNAcentral lists this ribosomal RNA (319 nucleotides) under uncultured bacterium. Its description in RNAcentral is "bacterial SSU rRNA". It matches the Rfam family "Bacterial small subunit ribosomal RNA", at positions 29 to 337 of the family's 1533-position model. The record is from RNAcentral.
AACGAACGCUGGCGGCGCGCCUAAUACAUGCAAGUCGAGCGAGAAGACGUAGCAAUACGUUUGUAAAGCGGCGAACGGGUGAGGAAUACAUGGGUAACCUACCCUCGAGUGGGGAAUAACUAGCCGAAAGGUUAGCUAAUACCGCGUACGCUCCUUGGACUUCGGUUCAGGGAGGAAAGCGAUACCGUGGGUAUCGCGCUCUUGGAUGGGCUCAUGUCCUAUCAGCUUGUUGGUGAGGUAACGGCUCACCAAGGCUUCGACGGGUAGCUGGUCUGAGAGGACGACCAGCCAGAAGGGGACUGAGACACGGGCCCCUACU